CUACGGGAGGCUGCAGUGGGGAAUAUUGGACAAUGGGCGAAAGCCUGAUCCAGCCAUGCCGCGUGUGUGAAGAAGGCCUUCGGGUUGUAAAGCACUUUCAGUGGGGAAGAAAGCCUUGGGGCUAAUACCCUCGAGGAAGGACAUCACCCACAGAAGAAGCACCGGCUAACUCCGUGCCAGCAGCCGCGGUAAUACGGAGGGUGCGAGCGUUAAUCGGAAUUACUGGGCGUAAAGCGCGCGUAGGCGGUCUGAUAAGCCGGUUGUGAAAGCCCCGGGCUCAACCUGGGAACGGCAUCCGGAACUGUCAGGCUAGAGUGCAGGAGAGGAAGGUAGAAUUCCCGGUGUAGCGGUGAAAUGCGUAGAGAUCGGGAGGAAUACCAGUGGCGAAGGCGGCCUUCUGGACUGACACUGACGCUGAGGUGCGAAAGCGUGGGUAACAAACAGGAUUAGAUACCCUGGUAGUC
RNAcentral lists this ribosomal RNA (464 nucleotides) under Vreelandella stevensii. RNAcentral's name for it is "partial 16S ribosomal RNA". It matches the Rfam family "Bacterial small subunit ribosomal RNA", at positions 339 to 795 of the family's 1533-position model. Lineage: Bacteria; Pseudomonadati; Pseudomonadota; Gammaproteobacteria; Oceanospirillales; Halomonadaceae. The record is from RNAcentral.